UACAGAGGUCUCAAGCGUUGUUCGGAUUCAUUGGGCGUAAAGGGUGUGUAGGUGGCGCGCUAAGUCGGGUGUGAAAGCCCUCAGCUCAACUGAGGAAGUGCGCCCGAAACUGCAGAGCUUGAGUACCGGAGAGGAUGGCGGAAUUCCCCAAGUAGAGGUGAAAUUCGUAGAUAUGGGGAGGAACACCGGUGGCGAAGGCGGCCAUCUGGACGGAUACUGACGCUGAGACGCGAAAGCGUGGGGAGCAAACAGG
RNAcentral lists this ribosomal RNA (253 nucleotides) under uncultured bacterium. RNAcentral describes it as "partial 16S ribosomal RNA". It matches the Rfam family "Bacterial small subunit ribosomal RNA", at positions 524 to 776 of the family's 1533-position model. The record is from RNAcentral.